RNAcentral lists this long non-coding RNA (355 nucleotides) under Sorghum bicolor (sorghum). RNAcentral's name for it is "long non-coding RNA (SBIC_LNC005656)". Lineage: Eukaryota; Viridiplantae; Streptophyta; Magnoliopsida; Poales; Poaceae. The record is from RNAcentral.
GGCCAAAAUUCAUUUUGUGACAUUUUUUCUUUCUGCCAUGUCAGCUGUCAUGUGGCAAGGUUUACGAUUUUGUGACAAUAAACUAAUAUCAUAUGCUUGUGACAUGAACAAAACAAAUGUCACAUAAUCUGUACCUAUUUAUAAAAGGAGAAAAUUUCAGUCUGCCUACCUCCUAUCCGUCAUGUCCGCUUGUUUGAAUCAAUCGGCGCUGGUAGCUGUAGGAGGAAAAAAAGAAUAGAAGUUUUUCUAGAGUUUCUAAUACAAAAUCUUCUAUACACAUUAAAGUAUAUUAAAAAUAAAAAAAGUACAAGGUCCUAAAUACAAAUUUGUCAGCACCGACCGCAUCAAUCGGCCC